Molecule: ribosomal RNA, 431 nt
Filed under: uncultured bacterium
Lineage: Bacteria
Description: partial 16S ribosomal RNA
Rfam family: Bacterial small subunit ribosomal RNA
Source: RNAcentral
AGCGAACGCUGGCGGCAGGCUUAACACAUGCAAGUCGAGCGCCCCGCAAGGGGAGCGGCAGACGGGAGAGUAACACGUGGGAACAUACCUUUUGGUGCGGAACAACUGAGAGAAACUUCAGCUAAUACCGGACAAGCCCUUACAGGGGAAGAGUUAUCGCCGAAAGAUUGGCCCGCGUCUGAUUAGCUAGUUGGUGAGGUGACGGCUCACCAAGGCGACGAGCAGUAGCUGGUCUGAGAGGAUGAUCAGCCUCACGGGGACUGCGACACGGCCCAGACUCCUACGGGACGCAGCAGUGGGGAAUAUUGGAGAAUGGGGGCAACCCUGAUCCAGCCAUGCCGCGUGAGUGAUGAAGGCCUUAGGGUUGUAAAGCUCUUUUGCCCGGGAAGAUAAUGACGGUACCGGGAGAAUAAGCCCCGGCUAACUUCGUG